RNAcentral lists this ribosomal RNA (492 nucleotides) under uncultured bacterium. Its description in RNAcentral is "partial 16S ribosomal RNA". It matches the Rfam family "Bacterial small subunit ribosomal RNA", at positions 28 to 523 of the family's 1533-position model. The record is from RNAcentral.
GAUGAACGCUAGCGGGAGGCUUAACACAUGCAAGUCGAGGGGUAGGGUAGCAAUACCUGAGACCGGCGCACGGGUGCGUAACGCGUAUGCAACCUGCCUUAUACAGGGGGAUAGCCCAUGGAAACGUGGAUUAACACCCCAUAGGAUUACUGGGUCGCAUGGUUUAGUGAUUAAAACUGAGGUGGUAUAAGAUGGGCAUGCGUCUGAUUAGGUAGUUGGUGAGGUAAUGGCUCACCAAGCCGACGAUCAGUAGGGGUUCUGAGAGGAUUACCCCCCACACUGGUACUGAGACACGGACCAGACUCCUACGGGAGGCAGCAGUGAGGAAUAUUGGUCAAUGGCCGGAAGGCUGAACCAGCCAUCCCGCGUGCAGGAUGACGGCCCCAUGGGUUGUAAACUGCUUUUGUACCUGAAGAAACUCCCCGACGUGUUGGGGACUGCCGGUAAGGUAUGAAUAAGCAUCGGCUAACUCCGUGCCAGCAGCCGCGGUAA